GCGGACAGAUGGGAGCUUGCUCCCUGAUGUUAGCGGCGGACGGGUGAGUAACACGUGGGUAACCUGCCUGUAAGACUGGGAUAACUCCGGGAAACCGGGGCUAAUACCGGAUGGUUGUYUGAACCGCAUGGUUCAGACAUAAAAGGUGGCUUCGGCUACCACUUACAGAUGGACCCGCGGCGCAUUAGCUAGUUGGUGAGGUAACGGCUCACCAAGGCGACGAUGCGUAGCCGACCUGAGAGGGUGAUCGGCCACACUGGGACUGAGACACGGCCCAGACUCCUACGGGAGGCAGCAGUAGGGAAUCUUCCGCAAUGGACGAAAGUCUGACGGAGCAACGCCGCGUGAGUGAUGAAGGUUUUCGGAUCGUAAAGCUCUGUUGUUAGGGAAGAACAAGUGCCGUUCAAAUAGGGCGGCACCUUGACGGUACCUAACCAGAAAGCCACGGCUAACUACGUGCCAGCARCCGCGGUAAUACGUAGGUGGCAAGCGUUGUCCGGAAUUAUUGGGCGUAAAGGGCUCGCAGGCGGUUUCUUAAGUCUGAUGUGAAAGCCCCCGGCUCAACCGGGGAGGGUCAUUGGAAACUGGGGAACUUGAGUGCAGAAGAGGAGAGUGGAAUUCCACGUGUAGCGGUGAAAUGCGUAGAGAUGUGGAGGAACACCAGUGGCGAAGGCGACUCUCUGGUCUGUAACUGACGCUGAGGAGCGAAAGCGUGGGGAGCGAACAGGAUUAGAUACCCUGGUAGUCCACGCCGUAAACGAUGAGUGCUAAGUGUUAGGGGGUUUCCGCCCCUUAGUGCUGCAGCUAACGCAUUAAGCACUCCGCCUGGGGAGUACGGUCGCAAGACUGAAACUCAAAGGAAUUGACGGG
RNAcentral lists this ribosomal RNA (870 nucleotides) under Bacillus siamensis. Its description in RNAcentral is "bacterial SSU rRNA". Lineage: Bacteria; Bacillati; Bacillota; Bacilli; Caryophanales; Bacillaceae. The record is from RNAcentral.